GUGGGUAAUGGCUGGGGCAGGCUGGGUCAGGUGCAGCACGUUGCAGAUGCCAAGGCCAAUGCCAAUGCCAAUGCUGAUGCUGAUGCUGAUGCUGAUGCUGAUGCUGAUGCUGAUGCUGAUGUUGAUGUUGGAGUUGGAGUUGGAGUUGGAGUUGGAGUUGGAGCUAGAGCUAGAGCUAGAGCAGUCACAGGCUCUGAGAGUGGUUUGCAGCAAAAGAUCCCUGCAGGAACUGGGUGAGGGAAAAGAAAAUGGAUAUCAAAGUAAGAGCAUACAUGACAUGGAGUCAGCAGCAGGAUGGAUGGCAAUGGCAAUGGAGCCCUGUAUGGAACUCACAGCCCACCCCAAAAUCCAAGUGCUUUCUGCAGAACAUCUCUUAAAGGCUUGGUUCUCAGCCUCUCCCCAUCCUGGCCAGACAAGAAACAGCAUGAGCCUAUUCCAGUUUUGGCAGUGCUACGAAUGGAUCGGAUUCACACUGCUCCAGCCCAAGAAUGCAUCGUCUCCAUCCAAGAGCUUUAGCUGCCCAUUCCAGAGCUGUUUGUGGAUGUGUCUUCCCACCAGAGGAACCUUCAGCAGGAGAAGACAGACUUUCUGACCUUUGUAUCCGAAAAGAUAUGAUUGCACCUUGGUUUUGGGUGUCACAUAGGACACUAUGGCUUUCAAAGUGUGACUUAAACUGGCUUUGUAAUAUAAACGCCUUGAUCCCACGGAAAGAGCUCGGGACCAUUUACAGGCUAGGUGGCCUCUGAACAGGAUAGAUAAUCCCAAAUAUCCAUCUCCUGGCUAUUUUGAACAACCAGUGGAUUGGUGCCCCUCAUUCAAACUGUGCUUUCCAGCCCCAUAGGUCCGUUUUGGGCCAGAGUCCUUCACAGGCAGCUUUUUAAACCCCAUGUUUGUCUUAUAAGCUACACUGGAUAUGAUUAAUUUGACUCUGUGCCAUCCCCUUCUCUCAUUUACCCCUUACUUCAGGGAGCUUUGGGGCACAUGUUAGCAUCGGGAUGUUGUGGGUUUGAGGCUCCUGCUAGUGGCUUGCCUGACUUUGUCUGAACCGAAAGCUAAUUUUCAUCCUGUGGUUAAAACCCAUCAGCACCUGCACAACAGCAAAACCUGAGAGUCCUAGUGGGUCAGAACCACGAGUACAAGCACGCAAGGUCCUGCUCCAGAGGAGGGCUUUGUCUUUCAAGCCAGCAAAGCCCUCUGAAUGUAUUCCCUCCUGCAACCCGAGGCACCAGCCAAUUCCCAUCCCCAUGCAGCCAUCUGGGGUGGAAGGAGUGCUGCUGCACCAACAAAGUGUAAUGCUGCUCCGUGCUCGCAUCGCUCAGGGCUGCGUGUGAGCCCUCGGUGCUGAAGUGAGAGCCAGAGGGGCUCCUCCACCCCCUGCACUGACAAUCCUGCAUUUAGCUCUCGCCCAGCACACUUUGUGAAGCACUGAAAAGCAUAAAAGCAGUGGUGAGGCAUAUCCCAGCCUGACCUCAUCCUCGCAGGGCCCCGUGGACUUGCUCCCUUUCCCUCUGCCAUGAAAGCUGGC
Molecule: long non-coding RNA, 1525 nt
Filed under: Numida meleagris (helmeted guineafowl)
Lineage: Eukaryota; Metazoa; Chordata; Aves; Galliformes; Numididae
Description: lncRNA (ENSNMEG00000022718.1)
Source: RNAcentral